UGUUUUUAAAAAAUUCUUGUGUUCUUGGAAAACAGGAACUCAUUGCAACAGAUGAGAAACAAAUUGAAGGGUUAAAAACGUUUUUAAUUUCAAGUGUUAAUUAAAAGAUAGUCUUGUUAAAAAUAUCACCUGAGAAUAACAGAAAAAUCAUAAUUUAGAGGUGGAAGAAACCUUCUUAUUAAAACAAAAAAACCCGAGAAACCGGGGGCACAGACAAGGCAGGCUCCUAUAGAUUUUUUUCUUUGAAUAAGAAAAAAGGUCUAUCUAUUUAUUUGAAAGGCAGAGUUACAGGCACACAGAGAGAGCAAGCGUGCUUCAUCCACAGAUUCACUCCCAAAAUGGCUGAAACAACUAGGGCUGGGCCAGAAGCCUGGAACUACACCUGGGUCUCCCAUGUGGGUGCAGGGGCCCACGCACCUGGGCCGUCCUCAUCUGCUUUCCCAGGCCAUUAGCAGGGCGCUGGAUGGGAAGUGGGGCAGCCAGGAACUGAACCCGUGCUCCUAUAGGACGCUGGCAUUGCAGGUGGCAGCUUAACCCACCGUACCCGGAACGUCCCAGGGAAACACCCAUUGCCCACUGUCAGUAGUGUUAAACAGGAGACGCCUUCAGCGUUUAAAUUUAUCAGGGCUUGAGCAGAUCACCACGCCAAGAACGGGACAGGUAGGUAGCAAGAACUCCCGCGCAGCGCUGGGUCAGUCUGUAUUUAUGGAGAGGAGAGAAAGGGAGGGGGAAAGCUCCACUUAAUUGGCUGCGCUCAUUGGCAUCAGCUGGCCGCAGCGGCCGCUGUAAAUAACCAACACUCAGCGGGAGUGUCUUCCCUAGUCGCUUCAGUUUCAUUUACAAGUAGCUUAGGGCUGCCAUUGGUUUGCCCUGUGGGGCCCAGUACCGGAGUCCAGUCCCAAUCGAUGGCCUUCUACAAGUUUUAUUUAACAGUAGCAAAGAAGCUGUUUACUGCCAGAUUUACACAUGCAAAGUCAAGUCACCUAUUGACAGAACUCCGAAGGUGGACUUGCUCUAGAACCGUGCUGUGUGGAGGGCAGGAGCCAGAGAUGAAAUCGGAAAUAACUAGGAUCCUGGUUGGAACGCUUUGGUGAAGUGCAUUGAGGAAUUCGAUCCUUAUCCUAAAGACAACAAAAAAGGAAGGCAAUUCCAAAAAUUAGAUCAGAUCUGUGAUUUUAGAAGAGCCAUUGUGGAUGUGCUAUGGACACUGGACAGUGUGUGUGUGUGUGUGUGUGUGUGGAAAGCAGGUAAGAGGCUGUGAGGAAUGUCAGGUGCAGGGGUGGCUCUGGGGGAGGCCCUGUGCAUGGGCGUAACAGGUGUUACGGAGGGGGCAUGGAGCCGGCUGGGGAGUGAGGACCAGGAGGAAGUCAGCAAGAUGCCGUGGGUUUGGCUCGAGUACCUGUGGCUGGUGGCCUUGUGUACCAAAACAGGAUCCCUGGGGAGGAGUC
RNAcentral lists this long non-coding RNA (1448 nucleotides) under Oryctolagus cuniculus (rabbit). RNAcentral describes it as "lncRNA (ENSOCUG00000034916.1)". The record is from RNAcentral. Lineage: Eukaryota; Metazoa; Chordata; Mammalia; Lagomorpha; Leporidae.